RNAcentral lists this ribosomal RNA (493 nucleotides) under uncultured bacterium. RNAcentral describes it as "partial 16S ribosomal RNA". It matches the Rfam family "Bacterial small subunit ribosomal RNA", at positions 28 to 506 of the family's 1533-position model. The record is from RNAcentral.
GACGAACGCUGGCGGCGUGCUUAACACAUGCAAGUCGAACGGAAAGGCCUGCUUUCCCUUGUGGAUUGCGGGUACUCGAGUGGCGAACGGGUGAGUAACACGUGAGUGAUCUGCCCCCAACUUGGGUAUAAGCCUGGGAAACUGGGUCUAAUUCCCGAUAGGACUGCAGGGUGGUGCCUGUGGUGGAAAACGAUUUUCUAGUGGUUGGGGAUGAGCUCGCGGCCUAUCAGCUUGUUGGUGGGGUAAUGGCCUACCAAGGCGGCGACGGGUAGCCGGCCUGCGAGGGAGGGGGGGAAGGUGUGGGAGGAGAUACGCCCCGGGCUGCACCGGGGGGCGGAGGUGGGGGAUGUGGCACCAUGGGCGGAGGCCUGUCCACGCGCCGCGGCGGGGGGGAAGACGGCUUGGGGGAUGGGAGCGCCGUGGGGCGGGAGGGAAGCCACCGGCUUAGAAGGGUGGUGACGGUGGUGGGAGAAGAAGCACCGGCUAACUACGC